AGUAGAAAACCCCAGGCAGAGCUGAAGACAGUGACAGAAGGGAUUAUUGCUUCUGAAGAAGAAAAAAAAUGAUUACAAAAUCACCUAUUUUACCGUCUUUUACAACUUCGUUGUAGGAGGUGUGAAAGAGGAGGGAAAUUGUGUUGGAAGAGGAGAUUAGGACAUCAAGAGACACCAAGAGUAACCAUGUACAGAGAAAAACAUCAUAUGAAGACACAGCAAGAAGGUGGCCAUCUGUAAGCCAAAGAGAGGCCUCAGAAGAAACCAAAUCUGCUAACACAAUCAUGGACUUUCAGCCUCCAGGACUGUGUGAAAAUAAAUUUCUGCUGUUUAAGCCACCCCAGUGUCUGGAAUUCUAUGGCAGCCCUAGCAAAUAAAUACAACUACUAUCAGUAUUAUUUGUCUUUUUAUAUUACUCUACAGUGUCAAGCCAAAUUUAAUUUUUAAAAUAAUGAUAUCUCAUAUCCACUUAAGCUAAAUAGGGCCCAGGAUUUCAUUCUUGGGUAUAUAUCUAAGAAAAAUGUAUGCUGAUAUUCACUAUAAAUAUAUUCAUACCAGCUUUAUUCAUAAUAGCCCCAAACUGGAAACAACUGAAAUGCCCAUCAUGAAAUAGGAUAAAUAAAUUGUGGUAUGUUCACACAGUGGAAUAUAAUACAGCUCUAAUGGAAAAACAAAAGCUGAUACAUGAAAGAAACAGGAUGAAUCUCAAAAUAGAUUUUUUAAAUUUUUUUAACUUUUGUGGGUAAUAGUUGGUAUGUGCAUUUAUGGGGUACAUGAGAUAUUUUGAUACAGGC
Molecule: long non-coding RNA, 794 nt
Filed under: Homo sapiens (human)
Lineage: Eukaryota; Metazoa; Chordata; Mammalia; Primates; Hominidae
Description: non-protein coding lnc-ZFHX4-3:11
Source: RNAcentral